GGCCUGCUGACUGAACACAGCUGACGUCUCCUGUCUCUGCUUUUUGUGUAAAACAGUAUGGCAAAGAUUCCAGAGCAUCCACCACAAGCCCCCAGGAACAGAGCUUUGAAGCCAGGAAAUACCAGACCAACGUGUGAAGUCAUGCACGAGUCCCGCUGGACUGAUCAUCUGUCACUCCACAGCCAUCUGGGUGAGACCUCAGGCCUGUUUAUGUCUUCAAGCAACCGAACAACAUCGAUAUAAGACUCAGAUGAGUCUUCUUCACUUGAUCCAUCUGCCAUCACCUGUAAAACAAACUCUGCACCGAUACCUCGUCUAAUUUGGGAAUCAUGUUACACCUCACGUGUGUGUGAUGUCUGCGCACAGCUUCGUGUUGCCUCUAGUUCACUCGUGAGGAAAGUAUGAGCCAAUAAUAACGCAGCAUGUGGAGCAGCGUAAGACAAAAACAAAACCAAGCCUCCUUGUAUCUCAAAUCAGCUAAGUGCCACAUAGUCAAAAGAUCCAAUCUCCAAAUCUGGCCUAUCUAGCCAAUGGCUUAUGCAACUAAUUAACUUCACACACCAAAAUUUGAAUUUAAAUUAACAAUUGCGAGAUAUCAUCAGGGGACACAAAGCACCCCACGAAGAAGUUUAUGAUGAAAAAAAGAUGAGUAUUAGAGGAGGCAAUCGGUGAAGUAAGGAGGGCUUUUAGAUGAGGGGAUAUCUCCAAUUACAAUCCACCGUACACUUGUCAGCAGUAAUGAAAUGUUUGCUGAGAGGUUGCUAUUUGUGGCUGCUAGAUUGGAUGAUGCUGCUCCACUGCCCCCACUAACAAUUAUAUUCCACGCAUAAAUUUCCCCGCCAUCUCUCCUAUUGUGUGAACUGUCGGCCAGAUAUACCUACAACUGUCCAAGAAGUCACGGAAUAAUGAAACACUAUUGUGUACAGCAGGUAUGACAUUCUCCCACUGCAGCGGAAAUGUAUCUCAAGAGAGAAAAAGAAGGAAAAAAGGAAAAACUUCUGCUUCUUUUAUUGUUUUUAAAGAAUUACAUAAUGCAUUAAUCACAGUAAAGACAAACCGGCUUUCCCCGCAUGUCAUAAUUGUGCAAGCUUACAAUUAAAUGUAAAAUUAGAUGUAAGAUGUAAAACUCUCUUUUUAUUUUUUCUCUGCUCAGCUUUUCAACUCAAUUGCACAGGGAGCAGAGCAGUAAAGCUUUGAAGAACAGACACACUCUUCAGUCCGUUAGCUUGGCACCACUGCCCAGUGGUUUGCAUACAAUCAGAGCUAAAGUUACAGUUGCUAUCACAGUCAUAUGUACACUUGUGGAAAUAAUCUGCCAUUUUGAUCACUGCUCCGCCGAGGUCAUCUGUAACUGCUGCGAGCGGCUGAAACAUAAGCCAGGUCCAAAUAAUUUCAUCAGAUUUGUGCAGUAUGUAUUUCCAAUUAAAGUGACAUCACAUAAACCUAAUUAGUAUAGAUGCAACCUGCAACUUGAUUUUCCAGUGCAUGGUUUUCUCAUCAAAUUGAUUACAGAGACUCUGCGAGGAAGUGUACUGCACAUACGAAUCUGGUGCUACUGUAGGCGGAUAUAAAAAUGCAUUUGUGAUGUUGCACCUAAAAAGAGCAACAGUCGGGCAUUUGACUCCGGCUACUGCGACGUUAUUCUAAUCACAAUAUGUUAAUGUUAAAUGACUGCAAAGGCCAGGCAUAAUGACAUUUCAAAAAUGCCCUGCUCCCUGUCAAUUUUCUCAGGAAAACACAUCUGUUUUGUGCAAAAUAAAUCAUCGAGUUCUGAUAUGCAAGUAUCACAGACACAAAGAGAAGCUUUGCAUCCUCUUGCAGGUUCAAUUACUGGCCUGUAGGCAGAUGCUAAUCCUAUUCUACGGUUUUAUCAUGAUUGAGAAUGUACAGACCAUUCAAUGACUUCAUGCAAGAGGAGGCAGAGGGUCAACCAAUCACACGAUCGUCUCACACGCACUCACUAGAUAAAAACCACACUCACGUACUACACCAACCACUUUAGCAUAAACUGCAAGUCAGUAACAAGUCAAUAGAGUUGAUUAUUUGCUCUUCUAUCCUACUGUGUAUUGUGCUGUCAGGACAGUCGCCGUGAAAAGUAAUGGAUUAUCGAAAACUAUAAUACACGUGGCACG
Epinephelus fuscoguttatus (brown-marbled grouper) is the source of this 2132-nucleotide long non-coding RNA. RefSeq lists it as uncharacterized. Lineage: Eukaryota; Metazoa; Chordata; Actinopteri; Perciformes; Serranidae. The record is from RefSeq and is a predicted model, not a curated record. The transcript is spliced from 3 exons.